GCCGCCGUAGCUCAGGGGUAGAGCGCGCCCUUGGUAAGGGCGAGGUCGACAGUUCAAUUCUGUCCGGCGGCACCA
RNAcentral lists this transfer RNA (75 nucleotides) under Alphaproteobacteria bacterium. RNAcentral's name for it is "tRNA-Thr". It matches the Rfam family "tRNA". From Rfam's summary of the family: Transfer RNA (tRNA) molecules are approximately 80 nucleotides in length. Lineage: Bacteria; Pseudomonadati; Pseudomonadota; Alphaproteobacteria. RNAcentral also lists the same sequence under 2 other names. The record is from RNAcentral.